Molecule: ribosomal RNA, 468 nt
Filed under: uncultured bacterium
Lineage: Bacteria
Description: partial 16S ribosomal RNA
Rfam family: Bacterial small subunit ribosomal RNA
Source: RNAcentral
GACGAACGCUGGCGGCGUGCUUAACACAUGCAAGUCGAACGGAAAGGCCCUGCUUUUGUGGGGUGCUCGAGUGGCGAACGGGUGAGUAACACGUGAGUAACCUGCCCUUGACUUUGGGAUAACUUCAGGAAACUGGGGCUAAUACCGGAUAGGAGCUCCUGCUGCAUGGUGGGGGUUGGAAAGUUUCGGCGGUUGGGGAUGGACUCGCGGCUUAUCAGCUUGUUGGUGGGGUAGUGGCUUACCAAGGCUUUGACGGGUAGCCGGCCUGAGAGGGUGACCGGCCACAUUGGGACUGAGAUACGGCCCCGACUCCUACGGGAGGCAGGAGUGGGGAAUAUUGCACAAUGGGCGGAAGCCUGAUGCAGCAACGCCGCGUGCGGGAUGACGGCCUUCGGGUUGUAAACCGCUUUCGCCUGUGACGAAGCGUGAGUGACGGUAAUGGGUAAAGAAGCACCGGCUAACUACGUG